UAGGGUAUGGCCAAGCGGUUUAAAGGCACAGGGUUUUGACCCCUGCAUCACUGGUUCGAAUCCAGUUACCCUAG
RNAcentral lists this transfer RNA (74 nucleotides) under Ignavibacteria bacterium. Its description in RNAcentral is "tRNA-Gln". It matches the Rfam family "tRNA". From Rfam's summary of the family: Transfer RNA (tRNA) molecules are approximately 80 nucleotides in length. Their secondary structure includes four short double-helical elements and three loops (D, anti-codon, and T loops). The record is from RNAcentral. Lineage: Bacteria; Pseudomonadati; Ignavibacteriota; Ignavibacteria.